RNAcentral lists this ribosomal RNA (50 nucleotides) under Pseudozyma prolifica. Its description in RNAcentral is "partial 28S ribosomal RNA". Lineage: Eukaryota; Fungi; Basidiomycota; Ustilaginomycetes; Ustilaginales; Ustilaginaceae. The record is from RNAcentral.
UCAUCGGCCUCAGAUUGGUAGGGACUACCCCGUUGAACUUAAGCAUAUCA